UCCAGAUUUUGGCUCUUUAACAUUUAUAAUUCGGCAGCCUGUAUUUCCUCAUUCCAAAUAAAGUUACUUUCUCGUCUAAUCUUGUAUCAGUAAUUUGGAAUUCUUUUUUUAAAGGACGAUCCAAAUGGAAGAAAUUUUAACAUCAACAAAACCACAUGAUGCUGAAUACUUCAUCCGCAUUGGCCUCAGUUUCCUCACCUGUAAAAUGGGCGCCAAUGACACCAGCCAUGUACCUAGUACCUCCUGUGCUGGACCCUGAAGGGACUCAGAUACGCCCCAGUGGAGAAGAAUGUUAAUAAAUGAUACCUGUGUGAACAGCCUCCUGACCACUGUUGGUUUCUGAGUUCCUAUCGGUCUUGGCUAUCGUCUCUGUCAGUCUUGGAGGAUGGAAGGAAAGUUCACAAACGCUGAUAUCAACUAAUUCUAGAGAAAGAAGGUAUGUAGAGAUAUUCUUGUGAGUUUUUGUUGUUGUUGUUGUUGAUGACAUAUAUCUAAAGAGCCUAAAACAUAUUCUAAGAU
RNAcentral lists this long non-coding RNA (519 nucleotides) under Felis catus (domestic cat). RNAcentral describes it as "lncRNA (ENSFCAG00000043686.2)". Lineage: Eukaryota; Metazoa; Chordata; Mammalia; Carnivora; Felidae. The record is from RNAcentral.